AUGUCGUCCUCCAACGACGCCCCCGUCAGCCCUCGCUCCCAGCUCGUGCUGAGCUGCUUCGAGGAGCUCCUCGACUUCGCGGUGGCGGACGUGGCGUCGGAGUGCCACCGCAUCGCGCGCCUAGGCCUCGACCGCAGCGUCGACGCCGAGGAGGAGGAGCUCCGCCUCUGGGCCGCGCGCGUCGCCGGCGACCACCCCGGCGCCGAGGACGGGGCCACCCGCGGGGCCGGGGGAGGAGGGGGGAACAAGGGCGCGCCCGACGUCUUCGGCCAGACGCACCCCGCCAUCGCCGCCGACGUCGUCGACUGCAUGAACUGCGGUCGCCCCGUCGUCGCCGGCCGCUUCGCCCCGCACCUCGAGAAGUGCAUGGGCAAGGGUCGCAAAGCUCGCGCAAAGACCACAAGGAGCAGCACAGCUGGACGGAACAGAAACAGCAAUGGGGAGGAGCAUAGCAACCAUACAUUCCAGGAGUCCUGA
Molecule: ribosomal RNA, 477 nt
Filed under: Triticum aestivum (bread wheat)
Lineage: Eukaryota; Viridiplantae; Streptophyta; Magnoliopsida; Poales; Poaceae
Description: partial small subunit ribosomal RNA
Source: RNAcentral